This 441-nucleotide ribosomal RNA is filed under the name uncultured bacterium. Its description in RNAcentral is "bacterial SSU rRNA". It matches the Rfam family "Bacterial small subunit ribosomal RNA", at positions 29 to 520 of the family's 1533-position model. The record is from RNAcentral.
AGCGAACGCUGGCGGCAGGCUUAACACAUGCAAGUCGAACGGGCACUUCGGUGCUAGUGGCAGACGGGUGAGUAACACGUGGGAACGUACCUUUCGGUUCGGAAUAAUACAGGGAAACUUGUACUAAUACCGGAUACGCCCUUCGGGGAAGAUUUAUCGCCGAUAGAUCGGCCCGCGUCUGAUUAGCUAGUUGGUGAGGUAAUGGCUCACCAAGGCGACGAUCAGUAGCUGGUCUGAGAGGAUGAUCAGCCACACUGGACUGAGACACGGCCCAGACUCCUACGGGAGGCAGCAGUGGGGAAUAUUGGACAAUGGGCGAAAGCCUGAUCCAGCCAUGCCGCGUGUGUGAUGAAGGCCUUAGGGUUGUAAAGCACUUUGUCCGGGAAGAUAAUGACUGUACCGGAGAAUAAGCCCCGGCUAACUUCGUGCCAGCAGCCGCGG